GGGAAAUUAGCUCAAGUGGUAGAGCGCUCGCUUUGCAUGUAAGAGGCAGCGGGAUCGAGGCCCGCGUUCUCCA
This 73-nucleotide transfer RNA is filed under the name Chelonia mydas (Green sea turtle). It matches the Rfam family "tRNA". Rfam says of the family: Transfer RNA (tRNA) molecules are approximately 80 nucleotides in length. Their secondary structure includes four short double-helical elements and three loops (D, anti-codon, and T loops). Further hydrogen bonds mediate the characteristic L-shaped molecular structure. tRNAs have two regions of fundamental functional importance: the anti-codon, which is responsible for specific mRNA codon recognition, and the 3' end, to which the tRNAs corresponding amino acid is attached (by aminoacyl-tRNA synthetases). tRNAs cope with the degeneracy of the genetic code in two manners: having more than one tRNA (with a specific anti-codon) for a particular amino acid; and 'wobble' base-pairing, i.e. permitting non-standard base-pairing at the 3rd anti-codon position. The record is from Rfam by way of RNAcentral. Lineage: Eukaryota; Metazoa; Chordata; Testudines; Cheloniidae.